Molecule: ribosomal RNA, 429 nt
Filed under: Gemmatimonadota bacterium
Lineage: Bacteria; Pseudomonadati; Gemmatimonadota
Description: Gemmatimonadetes bacterium partial 16S ribosomal RNA
Rfam family: Bacterial small subunit ribosomal RNA
Source: RNAcentral
UAGGGAAUCUUCGGCAAUGGACGCAAGUCUGACCGAGCAACGCCGCGUGAGUGAAGAAGGCUUUCGGAUCGUAAAACUCUGUUGUUAGAGAAGAACAAGGACGUUAGUAACUGAACGUCCCCUGACGGUAUCUAACCAGAAAGCCACGGCUAACUACGUGCCAGCAGCCGCGGUAAUACGUAGGUGGCAAGCGUUGUCCGGAUUUAUUGGGCGUAAAGCGAGCGCAGGCGGUUUCUUAAGUCUGAUGUGAAAGCCCCCGGCUCAACCGGGGAGGGUCAUUGGAAACUGGGAGACUUGAGUGCAGAAGAGGAGAGUGGAAUUCCGUGUGUAGCGGUGAAAUGCGUAGAUAUAUGGAGGAACACCAGUGGCGAAGGCGGCUCACUGGUCUGUAACUGACGCUGAGGCGCGAAAGCGUGGGGAGCAAACAGG